Molecule: ribosomal RNA, 497 nt
Filed under: uncultured bacterium
Lineage: Bacteria
Description: partial 16S ribosomal RNA
Rfam family: Bacterial small subunit ribosomal RNA
Source: RNAcentral
GAUGAACGCUGGCGGCGUGCCUAAUACAUGCAAGUCGAGCGAACAGACGAGGAGCUUGCUCCUUCGACGUUAGCGGCGGACGGGUGAGUAACACGUAGGUAACCUACCUAUAAGACUGGGAUAACUUCGGGAAACCGGAGCUAAUACCGGAUAAUAUUUCGAACCGCAUGGUUCGAUAGUGAAAGAUGGCUUUGCUAUCACUUAUAGAUGGACCUGCGCCGUAUUAGCUAGUUGGUAAGGUAACGGCUUACCAAGGCAACGAUACGUAGCCGACCUGAGAGGGUGAUCGGCCACACUGGAACUUAGACACGGUCCAGACUCCUACGGGAGGCAGCAGUAGGGAAUCUUCCGCAAAGGGCGAAAGCCUGACGGAGCAACGCCGCGUGAGUGAUGAAGGUCUUCGGAUCGUAAAACUCUGUUAUUAGGGAAGAACAAACGUGUAAGUAACUGUGCACGUCUUGACGGUACCUAAUCAGAAAGCCACGGCUAACUACGUG